This is a long non-coding RNA of Stegodyphus dumicola, 1393 nucleotides long. Lineage: Eukaryota; Metazoa; Arthropoda; Arachnida; Araneae; Eresidae. The record is from RefSeq and is a predicted model, not a curated record.
AAAGUGCCAUAAUAGUUUAAGUUGUUGCAAUAAAUAAGAUUUGAAUCACAUAAUUCAUAUGCACCAAUUACUUGGGGAGAAACUUGUUAAGGAACGACAUUCUGAUAGGUGACGAGAAUGGGAGCAUGAACCGAUGAAAACUGAGAUCCACUGGUUUAGUUAUUUAAAAGAAGAGAAGAAGCUUUUUCAGUCUUAGCGUUUAAGCAUGCCUUCAUAGUGUAAUUGGAAGCAUAUCCGACUAGCAAUCAGAAGAUCCGGAGUUCGAGGGCAUUGCACAUUUUUCACGUCUCCUGCUCCUAAAUGACUUUGCAGUGAGUUUGACUUUGCAAUAUAUACGCGGGACUUUCAGAACUUACGCAUGAAGCAGUAACUCGUUGAUUUCUCCUGUGAUUUCUACCAAAAUAUUCUGAAUCAUUUUCAGCUGUCACCGUGUUGAGGGGAUCUUUUGUUAUGUUUCCACCCGAGCAGCUUGAUGGCCACGCCCCUGAAAUAUGACGUCACACCAUCAUAUUGCUCACAGCGGGAAUCGCAGAAUACAACCUGAAAUUCGUAUGACAGAGAUGGAGUAGAAAACAAGCCUUCCUUAUUCUAAAUCUGUAAACUACAUAUAUAAAGCCUUCCAAUAUGUGUAUAUGGAGAGCUUAACAGUCGCUCAUGUUCCCGGAAGCUCCAGUAUUUCACUAGUCCAUAUCUAGCUCCAGUGCUUAUCACGCAUUCUAUCAGGGACAGUUCAGUAAAAUGUGGAACCCGUAUUUUCCUCGCACCCUUCACAAUCCUUAAACUAUUCGCUCGUUCGACAAUCAUACCCCUUUCCCAACAACUUUUGAAAAGGAUUGAAACACAUUAGUUUAUAUGUCAUUUUACCGAAGACUGCACUUGGGAGCCUUCAUUCCAGGAAAUUAUGAAACAACGAUACUUCCAUCUGCGGUAUUACCUGGCAGAUAUGCUAACUUUCCCAGAAAAUCGGAUGCCCCAGUGCCGUAUAGAAACGUAUACUAGAAGGUAUAAAGGUGUAAUGCCCAUAGCCCGAGAAGGAGAAGGAAAAGCUUGGCCAGCAGAAUAAUUAGUCCGACGGAGCCAUCCGUGGCGGGCGCCGAGUGGUUUUUGGAAGGAAAUAAUGAAAAACAUGAAAAAAAAAGAGAGAUAGGACAAAAGGAGACAAUGAGGGCAAGGGGACUUUGUCUCCUUUCGGACCGUCCGACAUCCGAAAGGAUGUCGGACGGGACGGUUCGAUUUUUUGUGGCUGAAGGGCCGUCGCCAUUUUUCUGGUUAUGCAGAGAUUGUUUUCUCAUCCGGCGGAGACCAAUGCCGGACAUACCUAUUCAUGCUUCUACCUAUAAUGUGUAAUAAUCAAGAAUUGUUUACUUAUUAAAGUUUAAUGUUAAACAAACAA